GUAUAUAGCCAUACCACCCUCAUCUGAUCUCCAAAACUAAGCAGGGUUGGGCCUGAUUAGUACUUGGAUGGGAGAGAAAACUGUCUUUUAAACC
Molecule: ribosomal RNA, 94 nt
Filed under: Cavia porcellus (domestic guinea pig)
Lineage: Eukaryota; Metazoa; Chordata; Mammalia; Rodentia; Caviidae
Source: RNAcentral